Molecule: long non-coding RNA, 739 nt
Organism: Clupea harengus (Atlantic herring)
Lineage: Eukaryota; Metazoa; Chordata; Actinopteri; Clupeiformes; Clupeidae
Source: RefSeq, a predicted model, not a curated record
CCCCUGAGUAGCACUCUGGCUGUUCAUUCAUUAGCCAAAGUGCUGCUCCUAUAUAACAAGCUAACCAGGUAGGAUGAUACAGGUGUUUGUAAUGCACAAGACGCUUCCGGGUAGCAUGCGUUUCGCUGCCGAAGGUCUCGGUUGGAAGACAACGAGCUAACACACCCUGCUGUAUUCUAUAGGAAGACAAGUCCAGGUGUUGGUUGUGAGCUGCCAGGGAGCCCUAUUCUCAGUGUUUGCUCUGUCCGUACCGCAUGAAGAGUGUUGCAGCUGUCUACGGGGCAGGUCGCCCGAACUGAGUCCUUUUCUUCACGCACUGCAUGUAUUGAGUGGUAAAGUGCACCUCACCAUUGCUGUGAUACCUGUUUGCAGUGCCUGUGCCUACGUGUGUUGUGUGUAGAGGUGUUGGUCUGUGUGUGGAUGUGUGAGUAGGCAUACGAAUCAAGAGCACGGGUGGCGUGUCGGUCUCACUUCCUUUUCCAGGACAGGUAACCCCCUGCAACAGCUGCUCCCUAUAUCCCUAUAUCCCUUACCAUUCUGGUGGCAGCCCUUACCCCCUCUCUUGCAAUAUCCUAUCAUCAUUUAGCCGUGUAUUAAUAAAUACUGUUAUUUUUAUACUGGAAUACCUCGUCUCUGUCGUUACUGGAACGUACUUGUGUGAGAGCCCGCUUGUCUCUGUCGAAAGGUACAAUUUACACCGAACAAUAUAUCUUGGUGUGAAAGUCACCAGGUGGCGUAG